GCUUUGUUCUUCACUGUCAUACUGCCCGUGUAUCUUGAGUGGUUGUGUUUUCGCUAUCGAGCAAAAUGUCUCAGGUGUAUGAAAACAUCUUUCGUGACGCUCUGAAAGAUUUCAGAGGAUGGCUUGAUUUCAGGCUAUUGUAAUUCGUUGGAGGAGGUAAAACAAAGCAUUUCUUCAAGCAAAUGCAGGAACAUGUCCCUAUCCCCUUUUUUGGUUGUGCAUUUGCAGUGGAGAGUGUGUGGUCAAGGCACUGUGUUUUGGGGCCGAAAUACUAUAAAAGUAAAGAGUCUAGUGUACCUGAGCACUUGGUAAUAUCAUGCUGUGUUAAGAUAGACUUACUUUCCAUAAAACAAGUUCGUUACAGGGAAAGUUUAUUAAAUAAAUUUUAUAGUAGUUCUUUACCCUCUUUAGGAAGACCAUGUGACUCCUCGUAAGAGAUUGAGGAUCAUGGAUACUGGAAAAUCCAACUGCCCAACAACUUUAAAUAUGAAGUGUAUAAGGGUGUAUCCUGAUUACAGUAUGCACUCAGCAACUGAACACAGGGAUACCAAGGCAAAAGUUCUUGCAAGUCUACAGAAAGAUUUGGCAUUGCCAUGCCCGCCGAAGGGCUACCUACGUUAUUAUUUGACUGCUUCUCCAGCAAGUGCGCACACACACAUGCUACUGAAAGUGUUGAAGCAAGUGGGUACAUACAUCCUUCACUUGUAAAGGAAAUCAAAAACUUAGUAACUCAGUGGAAUGACAUCUCUCAAAGUCAUUAAGUUGGCUCUAGAUAGAUUUGUUGAAAUCAAUUUCAUUGGGACACACAUACCAGGUCAAAUGAAUACUACCUUUUACCCCACAGAGAAAACUAUUUACAGUCACAUUUAUCGGACCCUUUAUAGUACGAAUAAAGUAUUGUUUGACGAGACUAGACUGCAGAAUCAGGUUGAUGAGUGGCACAAAGACUCGAGCAAUCACAUGAUUUAUUAUAGGCAUUGUAUGGAAGCCAAUGGAGAAGUGAAACCAUUACUUUUUUGCUAUCAGAGCAGUUGGCAGAGAGAUCUUUUGAAGAAGUAUGGGGGUAGUUGUUUGUUAGAUGCAACAUACAAAACAUCAUAUGAUAUUCCUUUAUUUUUUAUAGCUGUGAAGAGUAAUGUGGGCUAUUUGGUUGUCGGUUUUUUUCAUUCAGAUUGAAAAUGCAAGAUCCAUUCAUGAAGCACUAGACAUUUUCAAGGACUGGAACAAGGAUUGGAAUCCCCUCUAUUGGGUUACCGAUUUCUCGGAGUCGGAGAUAAAUGCAAUUGAGCAAGCAUUCCCUCAGACAAAAGUUUACUUGUGCCUUUUCCAUCCAAAACAGGCAUGGGGAAGAUGGUUGAAAAAAAGGAUAAUCUACGUGUACCAAAUGACAUGAAGAGAUUUCUGGACAUGUGGCAAGAAAUUUCAGAAUCAUCAACAGAGAGAGAAUUUAGAGAUCACGUAGAAGAGUUGCAAACGCACGAGGUUUCUCGGAGAAACGAGCGUGCGUGGCCAUACUUUCAACAGCAGUGGCUAACGGUAUGUGAAAGAUGGGUGAAAGCGUAUGAGGACAAGGGCAGAUUUGCAACCAUUGACACUACAAAUGGAGUUGAAGCCAUGAACAAGGUUGUAAAACAUUUUUUCCUUAAACACAAUUCAGACAGGACUUUAACUGGGGUUACUAAGGUUAUAAUAAACCAGUUUCUUCCAAGCCUAAUUAGAAAGUACUGUCUGCAGAAUUCUGCCAUCAAAGCUUAUAACAAAGAUGUUCCACUGUUUUUGCAUAAAAAACAAACAAGUUUGUGAAACAUGUCAUGCAGCGAUAUGAAUCAGCGAAAGUUGAGUUAACUGCAAAAUCAGUGAGUGGGAGAUUGGAUGGUUCAUUUUGUGUGGAGAGUGCAAAGUCCAAAAAGUGUAGUUAUGUUGUAAACUUUGAUAUACCAGAUUGCACAUGUGUAGAUUUUCGGAGAUAUAAAUACCCAUGCAAGCACUUCUGUGCAAUCUUUAUUUUUUACCCAGAGUGGGGUUUUGAUAAAAUGCCAGAAAGUUAUGAGACUAGUCCAUUAAUCUGUCUUGAUGAAAUGUAUGGUGUGGGCUUUAGAAGUGGCUCUUUAGUAAUUUCAUGCGAAGGUAGUAGUACUGAUGAAGCAGCUGAGGAGGCUGUCAAGGCAGCAAAUACAGAUGGUCUUGUUCAAACCCAGAAUAUUUCUUCGCAGCAGUUUGAAGCGAGGGAGCUGUGUAAACAGAUUUAUAAUCUCACAUACAACUGCAGCAACAGCGAAACAUUACAAAAAGUACUUGAAUCACUGAGCAACUGUGUGCAAGAUUUGCAAUUAGCAAAUCCUGAAGUUGGUGGUCUCCCAUUAGUAGUGCCAUCAACUUCCAAACAAUAGUGAAGAACGAUGCCAAAAGCCUUAAGAGAUCUGUCUUAAACACAUUAUAACUUUCCAUUUGAAGGGUAAGAAAUGAUGGUUUAUUUGGAUUUUAGAUAGCUCUUUGUCUAUGUAAAAUACGAAUAAGCUCCGUCAUUUCUGAUCCUCGAGAUGGAAUGCUAUGAGGUCUUUAUGUUGGUCUCUGCUUUUAAACUUUGUUGCACAUUUGAAUUUCGAAGUAGCAAUAGAUAAAAUAUUAUAAAAAGGAUAGUUGCUACAUUUGUGUGUGUGUGUGUUUGUGAGUGAGUGUGCGCGCGCGCGCGCUUUUGAAAAGGCCCUUGUUGCCCGAAAGAUAAGUCCGACAGUCUUUUUGUUGUGCCUUUCUGUGACUCGGCAUCUUCACUAUUUGGUGAGCAGCAACAACUAUCCUUUUCAUAAUAUUGUUACAUUCCAUCCUGGAUUUUUCGUUGUUCACCAGAAAAAAGAUUUUUCUGAGGAAUUAAACUAGAUGAUAGUGUAGAACUUGCAAACUUUUUAAAAUAUGAAGUAAAAGAUUUUAACUUUAAAUUAGUUUAAUUCAAAUAUGGGACAAUGUUGAGAAUUGAAAAGGUGGAAAAAAUAAAUAAGAUAUAUCUUAGUGGCAUUGAGAUGUCGUAUGACUGAUGGAGAAAAGAUUUUGCAUUUCUUUUUCCAAGUAAGAAUGCACUUGCUCUCACUUGCUUCAAUACAUGUCUAGUGAUUCACGUGAAACAGAGAAAAAGAUAAAGACUGCCCUGUUAAUGAACAUGUGAGAUUGCCCAGUAUCACUCUGACAGAAGAGUGUGCUGUUUCCUUGAUAUGGUAUCUGGUCAUCAAUGUCAUUGGGACCAAAUGAAAGUUACUGCAGAGACCACACAGAAGCAAUUACUGUUACUGGAAUACCAGUAAUGUUUAUUAAAUUCAGUUAUAAAGUAGUUCUGGGCAUUGCAGCUGGUGAGUAAUGUCAUUGGGCACCAAAAGAAGUUCAGUUACGAUGGAUUUGUGGCCUUCAGUCCGUGGGAAAAUUCACACCAGAUUGAAUCAAGACUGUUAUAUUCCAAGGAUAUCGAAGAUUGAUAGUAUUCCUGAAGGAAAACAAUCCAUGUAGUAUUUCACGUGUGUAUCAAACUGCCAUUUGUUGUGGCACAUAAAUGUUUGCAACUUGAUUGUAAUUUUUGACAGGUUUCUCAACAAUCCAAGAAUUUCUUGUAAUGAGAAGUAGACAUUGUUGCUUGGGUAAAGGAAAUACAAAUCACGGUCAAUACAACUACCUUAUUAACUUUCCACAGAUAAAUAUUUUUCACUACUGCUACUUAAAAAUUCAAAUGUGUGACAGUUUGCUUACAGAACUUGGCAUAAAGAUCUCCCUUAUUUGUAUUUUUUAGAUAGCUCUUAUUGUUUGAUCCUUCAAAUGGAAUGCUAUGACCUCCAUGUGAUCUAUUCCUUAGUAGUUAAUUAUCCAUUAAGGCACAAAUAUAUGAACAUUACAAUGAGAGGGGUCUUUAUGCCAGGCCCUGUAAAAGUAAUGGCAUCUUACUUAAUAUUAUUGUUGGGAAUUUGAUGGCACAGCUGUGGGGAGACCACAAAUUUCAGGGUUUGCUAACUGCAAAUCUGGCACACAGUUGCUGAGUGAUUCAAGUACUUUUCAUAAUGUUUCACUGUUGAUACAGUUGUAUGUGAGAUUAUAAACUUGUUUGAACAACACCUUCACUUCAAAUUGCUGCAAAGAAAUGGUUAAGGUAUCAGUGUGAUGCUCUGUGUGUUUCCUCAACUUUGUCCUCAUUGCUACUAUCUUCAUGUGAAAUUACUGCAGACACACUUCUGAAACCAAACCUGUACAUCUCGUGGAGACAGAUUAAUGGGCUAUUCCUGCAGCCUUCUGGUAUUUUAUCAAAACCCCACUCUGGAUAGAAAAUAAAGAUCGCACAGAAAUGCUUGCAUGGGUAUUUAUAUAUCUUAAAAUCUUCACAUGUGCAGUUUGGUAGAGUAAAGCUUACAACAUAAUUACAGUCUUUGAACAUUGUACUCUCCAUACAAAACAUUGUCCAACUUCACAUUCACUAAUCUUGCAGUUAACUCAACUUUCCCUGGUUCAUAUCACUGCAUGACAUGUUUCACAAACUUGCUUUUUUUAAAAAAAAUGAAAAAACAGUGGAACAUGUCUGUUAUGAUUUGAUGGCAGAAUUCUGCAGACAGUACUUUCUAAUUAGGCUUGGAAGAAAUUGAUUUCUUAUAUCCCUAGUAGCCCCAUUGAAGGUCCCAUCUGUGUUCCAUUUUAGGAAAAAAAAAAUGUUUACAAUCUUGUUCAUGGCUUCAACUCCACUUGUAAUGUCAAUGGUAUCAAAAUUGCCCUUGUCCUCAUAAGCUUCCACUCACUUUUCAUGUACCAGUAGCCGCUGCUGUUAAACGUACGGUGAUGCAUAUUCGUUUCUCUGAGAAGCCUCACUAUCUCUUUUGUAUGAUCUGUAAAUUCUCUGUUGGUGAUUCUAAAAUUUCUUGCCACAUGCCCAGAAAUCUCUUCAUGUCAUUUGGUAUAUAUUCAGCCAUCUUCCUCAAACCUGUUUCAGACUGAAAAGGCACAAGUACACUUUUGUCUGAGGAAAUGCUAGAUCAGUUGCAUUUAUCUCAGACUAUAAGAAAUCAGUAACCCAGUAGAUGGGAUUCCAAUCCUUGAAAAUGGCUAGUGCUUCAUGAAUGGAUCUCGCAUUUUCAACUUGAAUGAAAAAGAAAACCAAAUAACCUGCAUUACUCUUUACAGCUAUAAAAAAAUAAAGGCAUAUCAUGUGUUGUUGUUUUGUAUGUUGCAUAUAACAACUAUCCCUGUACUUCUUCAAAAGAUCUCUUUGCUAACAGCUCUGAUAGAAAAAAGUUAUGGUUUCACUCCUCCAUUGGCACCUAUACCAUGUUUGUAAUAAAUCAUGUGAUUGCUUUAUUCCUUGUGCCACUUGUCAGCAUGAUUCUGCAAUCUAGUCUCAUCAAACAAUGCUUUAUUUGUACAUUACAAGGUCCAAUAUGUGUGAAUAUAAUUUCUUUCAGUGGGGUAAAAUGUAGUAUUCAUUAGACCUGAUAUGUGUGUCCCAGUGAAAUUAUCAAUAAAUGUAUCUAGAGCCAAAUUAUUGGCUGUAUGAUGUCAUUCCAUCGUGCACCUGAAUUUGUAUUUCCUUUACAAGCUAUUGUUAGCAUGUGUGUGUGCUGAUUUGCUGGAGAAGCAUAGAGAUAGUCUUUCAGCUAUCUUUGAGACAUUUAAAGGAGGUGCUUUAGAAAUGAGUGUCCUGAUUGAUAUGAAAAACAGUUUUCACAUUUUCUGUAAAAACUGUAAACAGUUCCUCAGUUGGUGAUUGUGGAAGAGAUUGCCAUAGCCACAGUAUUGAUCCACUGUCAGGUGGUAAACCUAGGAUUUCCUUCCAGUAUGAGCCAAGUGAAGUAAAACUGUGGUUGGAGAAAUGUUUUAUAUUCUUAAACUGAGUAUUUGCAACCCAUUAUGUUGGAUUGCAGUUCAUGUGUCAACACUUAAAAAUGUUUAGUUCUUCACUGAUGACACGUGAUACAAUUUCAAUUUUUAAGGCUAUUCUGUGUCAAGUUAAAUUUUGAAUUAUCCAUUUAAGCUUAUUUUUUUGCUGUGUGGCAGAUGGAUUUAUGUUCAUGUAAUAUUUUUAAUGUUGAUUGUGGUAAGGUGUAAUCAUAUGUAAA
Molecule: long non-coding RNA, 6077 nt
Organism: Schistocerca cancellata (South American locust)
Lineage: Eukaryota; Metazoa; Arthropoda; Insecta; Orthoptera; Acrididae
Exons: 5
Source: RefSeq, a predicted model, not a curated record